This is a non-coding RNA of Xylaria venustula, 117 nucleotides long. Lineage: Eukaryota; Fungi; Ascomycota; Sordariomycetes; Xylariales; Xylariaceae. The record is from the annotation of a GenBank genome assembly.
GGCUUGGUGGUCUAGUGGUAUGAUUCUCGCUUAGGGUUCACUCUAUGUUUCUGGCUCAGGGCUCCGUCCUACAGCACGGCUUGCGAGAGGUCCCGGGUUCAAUCCCCGGCCAAGCCC